UAACUCCGGGAAACCGGGGCUAAUACCGGAUGCUUGAUUGAACCGCAUGGUUCAAUUAUAAAAGGUGGCUUUUAGCUACCACUUACAGAUGGACCCGCGGCGCAUUAGCUAGUUGGUGAGGUAACGGCUCACCAAGGCGACGAUGCGUAGCCGACCUGAGAGGGUGAUCGGCCACACUGGGACUGAGACACGGCCCAGACUCCUACGGGAGGCAGCAGUAGGGAAUCUUCCGCAAUGGACGAAAGUCUGACGGAGCAACGCCGCGUGAGUGAUGAAGGUUUUCGGAUCGUAAAACUCUGUUGUUAGGGAAGAACAAGUACCGUUCGAAUAGGGCGGUUCCUUGACGGUACCUAACCAGAAAGCCACGGCUAACUACGUGCCAGCAGCCGCGGUAAUACGUAGGUGGCAAGCGUUGUCCGGAAUUAUUGGGCGUAAAGCGCGCGCAGGCGGUUUCUUAAGUCUGAUGUGAAAGCCCCCGGCUCAACCGGGGAGGGUCAUUGGAAACUGGGGAACUUGAGUGCAGAAGAGGAGAGUGGAAUUCCACGUGUAGCGGUGAAAUGCGUAGAGAUGUGGAGGAACACCAGUGGCGAAGGCGACUCUCUGGUCUGUAACUGACGCUGAGGCGCGAAAGCGUGGGGAGCGAACAGGAUUAGAU
RNAcentral lists this ribosomal RNA (655 nucleotides) under Bacillus licheniformis. RNAcentral describes it as "bacterial SSU rRNA". It matches the Rfam family "Bacterial small subunit ribosomal RNA", at positions 144 to 783 of the family's 1533-position model. The record is from RNAcentral. Lineage: Bacteria; Bacillati; Bacillota; Bacilli; Caryophanales; Bacillaceae.